GGGCCCGUGGCCUAGUGGGAAGGCGCCUCCUUUGCACGGAGGAGAUCGUCGGUUCGAAUCCGACCGGGUCCACCU
Molecule: transfer RNA, 75 nt
Filed under: Caldilineae bacterium
Lineage: Bacteria; Bacillati; Chloroflexota; Caldilineae
Description: tRNA-Ala
Rfam family: tRNA
About the family: Transfer RNA (tRNA) molecules are approximately 80 nucleotides in length. Their secondary structure includes four short double-helical elements and three loops (D, anti-codon, and T loops).
Source: RNAcentral